RNAcentral lists this ribosomal RNA (698 nucleotides) under Pseudomonas sp. 0-p12_3. RNAcentral's name for it is "bacterial SSU rRNA". It matches the Rfam family "Bacterial small subunit ribosomal RNA", at positions 79 to 773 of the family's 1533-position model. The record is from RNAcentral. Lineage: Bacteria; Pseudomonadati; Pseudomonadota; Gammaproteobacteria; Pseudomonadales; Pseudomonadaceae.
CUUGCUUCUCUUGAGAGCGGCGGACGGGUGAGUAAUGCCUAGGAAUCUGCCUGGUAGUGGGGGAUAACGUUCGGAAACGGACGCUAAUACCGCAUACGUCCUACGGGAGAAAGCAGGGGACCUUCGGGCCUUGCGCUAUCAGAUGAGCCUAGGUCGGAUUAGCUAGUUGGUGGGGUAAUGGCUCACCAAGGCGACGAUCCGUAACUGGUCUGAGAGGAUGAUCAGUCACACUGGAACUGAGACACGGUCCAGACUCCUACGGGAGGCAGCAGUGGGGAAUAUUGGACAAUGGGCGAAAGCCUGAUCCAGCCAUGCCGCGUGUGUGAAGAAGGUCUUCGGAUUGUAAAGCACUUUAAGUUGGGAGGAAGGGCAGUAAAUUAAUACUUUGCUGUUUUGACGUUACCGACAGAAUAAGCACCGGCUAACUCUGUGCCAGCAGCCGCGGUAAUACAGAGGGUGCAAGCGUUAAUCGGAAUUACUGGGCGUAAAGCGCGCGUAGGUGGUUCGUUAAGUUGGAUGUGAAAUCCCCGGGCUCAACCUGGGAACUGCAUUCAAAACUGACGAGCUAGAGUAUGGUAGAGGGUGGUGGAAUUUCCUGUGUAGCGGUGAAAUGCGUAGAUAUAGGAAGGAACACCAGUGGCGAAGGCGACCACCUGGACUGAUACUGACACUGAGGUGCGAAAGCGUGGGGAGCAAAC